GAUGAACGCUGGCGGCGUGCCUAAUACAUGCAAGUCGAGCGAACGGACGAGAAGCUUGCUUCUCUGAUGUUAGCGGCGGACGGGUGAGUAACACGUGGAUAACCUACCUAUAAGACUGGGAUAACUUCGGGAAACCGGAGCUAAUACCGGAUAAUAUUUUGAACCGCAUGGUUCAAAAGUGAAAGACGGUCUUGCUGUCACUUAUAGAUGGAUCCGCGCUGCAUUAGCUAGUUGGUAAGGUAACGGCUUACCAAGGCAACGAUGCAUAGCCGACCUGAGAGGGUGAUCGGCCACACUGGAACUGAGACACGGUCCAGACUCCUACGGGAGGCAGCAGUAGGGAAUCUUCCGCAAUGGGCGAAAGCCUGACGGAGCAACGCCGUGUGAGUGAUGAAGGUCUUCGGAUCGUAAAACUCUGUUAUUAGGGAAGAACAUAUGUGUAAGUAACUGCGCACAUCUUGACGGUACCUAAUCAGAAAGCCACGGCUAACUACGUG
This 497-nucleotide ribosomal RNA is filed under the name uncultured bacterium. Its description in RNAcentral is "partial 16S ribosomal RNA". It matches the Rfam family "Bacterial small subunit ribosomal RNA", at positions 28 to 507 of the family's 1533-position model. The record is from RNAcentral.